Molecule: long non-coding RNA, 20454 nt
Filed under: Gallus gallus (chicken)
Lineage: Eukaryota; Metazoa; Chordata; Aves; Galliformes; Phasianidae
Description: lncRNA (ENSGALG00010002585.1)
Rfam family: mir-30 microRNA precursor family (bases 625-700)
Source: RNAcentral
GGCUGGGCUGGGGUGGGGCGGGGCGGGGCGGCCUGGAGCGGGGAGCUGCGUGCCGCAAGUUUUGCCCGGAGUGCCAAAGUUGGGCUCAGCCCAGGUUCCUGGAAACUUGAGGAGCAAUCUUCUGUGCCUGAAGAAUGCAGUUCUCACCGGAUGUGUGUAUCCUACAUGAAGGGGAACAGAAGCAGGAUCAGCUGGGGUCCAGGAACUGUGUGAGACUGUGCUUGCAUGGCGGGUCUGAAGCUCACAUAUUCCUGUCUGGGUAUUCACCUUCAGCUUCAGAAGAGCUAUUGUCUCUCUUCUCUCAACUUCUGUACUUAGAGACAACUUCAGGAGAUUUGAGAGCACUCUGGAGUGAACCAGGAGGAAGCCUUGAACUACAAUUGUGUCAAUAAGAGUGGCUGUCCUUGGGAGAUGCUGAAGCUCAGCUUUAUCAUGAACUUUUCUUACACCCCUCAACAUAUGCACAAAGGACUUAAUUUUGUUUGGGAUUCAUGUGGUAUGAAAGAGUCAUGGCUGUAUGGGUUUCUUCCUCCCUUCACUUGAUGUCUGUAUGUUUCCUGCAGUCAGUAAUGAAGUCUGUACAAGGUCUGCUGACAUUUGGUUUGCUUUCAAGAGCUCUGAGUGACAGGUACUGUAAACAUCCUACACUCUCAGCUGUGGAAACUAAGAAAGCUGGGAGAAGGCUGUUUACUCUCCCUGGCUUGGAAAUCAUCUGGAGGGCGAGGAUGGAACGUUGUGAGCUCUGUGUUCAUUGUAUUUCUGACAGCCUGUACUUCUUAUUUUAUGUUUGGUGUCAGUAAACAAAUAAUAGCAUUAUAUCAUGCCAUCAAGCUCUUGAGUUCUGACUGAGGCUUGAACUCAUAAUAAUAAUUUUAAAAAAGGGCCUUUUGUACAAUACACUUAGCUGCAGUCCUGGCUUUAGGGAAACGCAAAUGGUAGCAGUAACACACAACAAGACCUUCAUCCUUAAAUACUGGGUAAAACAGACCUAUUUUACUGUUUGUUACAAGUUAGUGUGCAUGUUUUCAGGUCCACACAUCAGUGGUGUCUUUUGUUAAAGUCCUCCUUAAAUGUUUGGGUCUUGUGUUCACUCAAUUUAUGUUUUCCUACCUAGAGAGACUAGAAACAGAUGUCUGAAGGCAAAAAAAGGGUUCUCGGGGACUUCAAGUUUCAGUUCCUAUUUGAAGAAAUUGAGAUAUCAACCCCAGGUAGCUCUGUUUUUGAAUAAACUAAAUUAAAGAUGCAAAAGUAUUUAGCUUGGGUUUUAUACUAGCUCUUCUCUGCCACCUGCCAUCCAGACUGAAUUAUUGUUUGUACUUUUCUUGGCAAUCUUUCUUCUUUCUCUCGUUUCUAUUUCCCAUUAGUUAAGUAGGGCUUCUCAUUUUAAAUGUAGAAUAAUUUUUUACUUUCAUUUUAAAUCCAAAAUCGUACUGGCAUGGACUAAAUCCUCAUAAAAUGUACUUUUACAGCUAUUCUUAAGCAGUGAUGUUGGCAGAAAUGCUAUUAUUCAUGCACUUUCUUUUUUUAAAUUUAUUGGAGGGAGCCAUCUUUUGUGCUUUCAAAGAAUUUCUUCGUAAUUCAGUUAAGUGCAAAGAUAACCUUUUCUCUAUCGUCAUAUUUAAAGAUCUGCUGCUUUAGACUUUUAGCAAAAGUAUUUAAACAAAAAAGCUCUGAUAUAAGAAAUGUCCUAAAGAUUUUAAGUAAUUGGAUUUGGGAAGUGAUGGAAGUGGAAAGAGAACAGCAGAAUGGUAGAUCUUGUAAGGUUGUGAAAUAGUACUUCUGCAAAGUGGUCAAAAAAGGGAAUUCAAACAGGCAGAUCUUUAAAGAAAAGAGGGUGGGAAAAGUCCGUGUUCUGAAGCAGUAAUUAUUUAGGAAAAGGAAGUGGAGGGAAAGAAAGUCCUGGGGUCCAGUAAAGUACCAUAGACAGGGUUUAAGAUGAUGAGAUGAGGUCUGGCUUUACAUAAACCUGAAGAACUGGUGUUCAUGAGGUUUUGACUCUUGAUAUGUACAGUGAUACUACAAGUGAGGUUAGUCUUAUAAAAAGAUGGUUUUAUGGAGAAAUGAGUUGUUCAGACUAGUAAAACGAUAGAGGGUAGCAUUUCCUAACACACGUGGUUCCCUCGGCAGAGAGAUAUCUCCAACAGUGAUGGAGCACAGAAUUCUAUCCUCCAUCCUAUGAUAAUUCUGAUUGUAGGCUGUGCUGUUGAGAACACAGUUUCUUGAAAGGAGACGUCAGCUUUAAUAUGUGUUUUACUGUCUUUUUUGUUUUUAAUAUAGAUUUGCUUUAGGCUAGGAACCGCUGUUUUCUGUCAGAUGGAAAAAUCUAUGUUUAGCAUUAUCUAUUUGCUGUCUAAUGGUGAAAUUCCAGCUUUCGUUUUAUCUGUGUAAGUUGGGACUGUUGAAGCUUUUCUCAUACGUUUUUCCUUGGCCAUUCUUUCCUGUGGUUUCACUUGUGCUGGUAUUAAUGUUUGUUUAAACAGUGAGCUUACAGUGGCUCGACUCAGCUGAAAAUUAAACAAGCAAACCAGCUUUUAUCUGGACCAGAUGAGUAAGAGCUUACUGCACUACCAUGGUGCUGUGGCCAAAAUGCUGAUACCUUCAAACAUGUCCACCUUUCUGAAGGGCUAGAACAGAUUUUGCUGUAAAUAAGACCAUCGAAUCCUAAUGCAAUGAGAGAGUGAAAACACAGGAUUUUGAAUGCUCUUGUAUUUGGCAGUAGAUUGUUCUGUUGAUGCUGUUUGAAAGCAAUUGCCAGCAUAGUGCUGAAAUAAAUUUGGAUUAAAUUAUCAUGAUUAAAACUUUUGAUUUCUUGACAGCUAUUUAUGCUUCUGUGUCUUUGAAAGAUUUGUUUAUAAAGUGUAAUAAACAAAUUGUGUUGGUAAUGAGGAGCUACCAGUAAUUUUGCUGCCUCCAGAUCUUUAACUGUAAAGGUAUCUUUGGAUAUAUUUGCACCAGACAAAGCAUUGUGUAAAUUGCAUUAUUUCUAGGUCAUGUUUCGGUCUUUUUCUGUAAGUAUCACUUACCAAGCCAAAGGCAAGCUGAACAUUCUUUUCUUGUGCAAAACUCAGAUUUCAAGGAGUUUAAGACUUUCCAAUCAACUAAACAUAGAACUUUCCUAUUGUGAAAAAACAUACUCAGCUUUUUCAAAACUGUUGCCAAUAAUGAGUUUUGGGUUGGGUCCUUAGGUAAUCUGGAGAGCUACCGCAGCAAAUUGUCUGUGGGAAAUCUGUGAUUGGAGGCAUGGGCAAAAUCUGUGAUUGUAGGCAUGGGCCUUUUGCUGGUUUUUUUUUUUUUUCUUAAUGAGUGUUCUGCUAAGAUGCAAAAGUGACUUACUCUGUGUGAUUCUUGGCACUGCUCAGGACGGUGUCAUUCUUGUGUGCUAAGCUCAACGUGUUCCUUGGAUUGGCUGAUUGACUUUUAAAUGAGGAAGAAGACAUCUUACUAAUUAACCUUUUCCUUACUGCUAAGCAUUAAAGUGUAGGGGGUGAAAAUUACAGUACUCAAAUUUAAUAUAUAUGCUUCACACACGUGAAGCAUAUAUAUUUUUUUCUAGGCUACAUUUUUGAUUAUGUAGCCCCUAGAAGUAAUUACCUAAUAUCCAGUUUUGGUAGUGUAGGGAGUGACUGUGGGAAGAAAGAGUGCUUGGGAGUCCUUGGGCAAAGCUGUCUCUUGUUUGAAGAUUGCAGCCUGACCUUGGGUUUUACAAGUGGAAUAUUAGAGAAACAUUGCAUUAGAAGUUUCAAAGAGCUGCCAGUGGGGGAAAAGGGAGGUGAAGGAGAAAGAGAGGAAGAGAUGUGGGUUACUUGUCAUACAAAGGGGGGGGGAUAAUAUCCAGCUCAUUUUCAGUGCAAAUGAUUUCUUGAUAAUACAACAAAAGAGCAACAAUUGUCCUUGAUGCUUAUACAAAAGUUGAGGAUUUCUUUUAUGCAGUAAAUCUGACUGUCAGGGACUCUAAUUCAGUGUGUGAGAAUUGAAAGGUUUGUGACAAGCUAUUGUACUUUGAAGACCUCUAUUUUAAAAUCAAAGAAAAAGAUUGCUUUGAAUGAGAGAGUGGAAGAAUAAGGCAUUAUAUGGGCUUCAGUUACAACUGCCCCUGAAAUUAGUGGAUUCUAGACUUGAAUAUUUUCUGAGCUGUGAUGGAGAUAAACAUGUAGAAGCAACUCUCUGUGUACAAAAAAUAAACAGGUGUAACAUCUAUAAUAUAUUUGGAAUGUGUAAUAGCAUUAGUUAUUUAUUAGUUAUAUAUAUAUAUAUAUAUUAGUUGUUAUAAUAUAGUUUGGAAUGUGUAAUAGCAAAGUCAACUUAGUUAAAUUUAAAACAGAGCAAACACCUUGGCUUCACUUCAUGCUUUCUUCAAACUUAGGUUUUGUUCUUUGUGCACCUUCCUGGAUGCUUUUUUUUCCUCUUAGAAAAGCACUUUACUAAACAGAAUGCUGAAGCUUCUUUUAUUCUUGUGUGCAACUUUGCUUCUUGUCAGCUCUGGGCUCUAUCCAAGACCCACUCAGCUACAGGUAGGCUUUUGUUCCCUUAUUUUGCUUUGGUUUUGUGGAUGUUAGUGUGAAUUAAAUGGAAAUAAGCUUUUGUAGCAAUUGCUUUGUGUAACGAGCAACAGUUAAACUAAUCACUGCAGUCUAUGUCUAUGAAGUGUCUCAGAAGAGAAGCUUAGGGCUUGCUUCUUUUAAAUAGUGUAUUAUGAUGGCUAAUUGCAUCUUAUCUAAUUCUUCAAGAGGGAGAGUAGAGUGAGGCUGUGUUGCCUUAGCUUUACAACACUUAACUCCCCUCCACAGGAGGAAAUAGUUCUGUUCCUGCUGCAGUUAAUGGGAAAUUCUUGUUGCUGCCUCUAUCCUGUUCUUGAGGUGCUGAAAUAAUAUGGCAGAGCAAGAGACUGUGAUCCUGGCUUUGGAGAGAACCUUUGCACUUCAUUUUCUCUUUUGUGAAAGAAAAUGAUGCUUUCUCACAAGGCGGGGUAUGGUAAACAAACAGAAAUCUCUUUUUGUGCUGAAACAUGUUGCCUAAAAUCGUAUCACUGUGUCCUAGUUUAUCUUGUUAUGUUCCAGUCUUUCACUAUGGUCUAGAGAGAUUGCAGUGCUUGGUUGUAUUACUGGAAAAGAACAAAGGACCUGACACAGGGUUAUCAUAUGUGUUGCUAAAAGUUCCUUCUUGUGCUGCUGGCAUGUUAACCUCCCACCAUGUCCAUGUUGGUGUGCAGCUCCUCUUCUAGGAGCGUGCUGGGGCGGUGCUUCAUCAAUUGCAGCACAAACGUCAGCUAUAAGCUAGCCUCUCCACCACUUGCUGACACCCUAGGCGUGCUCUUAGAUUGGGGUAGGGUUCAGGCCACCCCACUGCAUUAUUGAGGUCAGCAGGGCUAAAUCAACACUGUCGCCAGCUGAGGACUUCUGGGCUUUGUGUCAUUUAAGGCCAUCCUCGAGUUGUUUCUCAGCAUCCUGAAGCACCACCGAAAAAAUGCUGCUAAAACAACUCCAGUUGGGCACCAGUGGGGCAGUGGUGUUGAUGCAGACAAAUGAAAUAACUUAAGGAUCUGCGAAGUUCCUGUUCUUUAGAUGCCUCAAUGUAACUAUAAACUCCAUGAAUAGUUGAGCUUUGUGCAACUUGUCCAGCUUGCAGAUGUUUUUGGCGACGAUGUUUGGAGGCUGUAAUCUCAUGCUUAGUUGGUGCAGUACAGUUGAAAUGCACACAGCGAUAGAUUUUCCUUCUCCUUAGUGCUUUCCACGCUCACUGCUUUGACAGUAAUGGAGCUUCUAAUUAAGAUCUCGCAGCUUCAAUUCGUGCAAUUGAUGAAAUGUUCCAAUAUGCUCUAUGUGCAGAUUGCAUAGAAGGGCAGAUCAAAUCUAAAUGGAAACAGAGAAGGUUUUAUCACCUUGGGGUAAUUGCAUGUAGCGUGCAGCCGUUGAAAUUAGAUGUGACAAAAGCGGUUGUCUCUGUUGUCACUCAGAGCAGCUGUGGGUCACGGGGCACAGGUCUGUGAAAGCAGGGGUGACCAGGCCUGUCUGCUCCUUGACAAACAGUCUGAACUGUGUGCUCACAGUAGUGCUUGCUGUGUUUGUGUCCAGAAGCCUGUCAAGCUGACUUCUAGGGACCCUGGCCCUUCUUAUUCCCAUUAUAGUGCCCCUUGGUCCCCAGAAAGGGGCUUUCCUUUGGGGUGCUCAGCUCUUGCUUUGCUGUUUAAACAUCAGCCUUAUUUUAUGAUAGUUCUUGCUGAAGUUUGCACACUAUCUGAAAGCUUUAGCAAGUAUCCAAACCAAGGAUACUUGGUGGGAGUUGAACCCUAUUGCUGAUGCGAAUCUCUUUUCUGCUCUUUCCAGUGGCAAGCUUUAUUCUGCCAAUGUGUUCUUACCUAUGGUUUACCCAAUGUUUGUCUUUCCUGCAGAGCUGUGUGCCUGUUUGUCUAAAUGCUCCUCAGUGAGGCUUUGUUGCUCUCCAGCUCAGAGCCGGUUAGAGCUGUGGAACCGACCGCAGCCUGGGCCUGUACUGUGGUAGGAAGGGAGCACAGCUAAACUCUUGAGGACAAAAGACAAUGAAUGGACAGUAUAUAGUAAGGUUUUUUGUGAGCUGCUCAGCUCUUCCAAGUGGGGGAGGAAAAGGAUCAAAAGUGAGGAAUAUUAAAGACAAAUUGAAGCUGAUGUUUGAACUACCAGUCCAGGAAACUCCAGAUACAAACUGAAUGGAAAGUUUUCCUCUGAAGUCUACAAAGAAUUUUCAAGGACAAAUCUGAAUGGAGAACAGCAAGGAUUUUCAUCUUUGUGUACUGGAACGAAGUAGUCACUGGCAGCUGGAAAAGAAACUUCAGAUUCUUGGCAGUAAACAAAAAAAAAAGGGUCCAGCUCAGAGGCUGGGGCUGAGUAGAUUUAAAGGCUUUGAGGGGCAAAUCUAAUGGUUUGGGUACAUACAAUAGAACACAUUUAUGAAAAUGAUGACGUGGGAAAUGAAAUGUAUUAGUUAGGGCUUCAAAAUACGUAUACCUGCAUUUGGGUUCUGUGAGUACAUUUUCAGGCUGGAACAAUGCCUGAAAAUAUCUCAAACACAUUGCUUGCGCUUCAGGUUGCAGUCUGUCACUUAACUUUAAAAGAGUCAUGGAUGAUGUGCUCUGAGGUUUACAGAGAGCAAAAUCCUGGUAGGGCAGGUGUUAGGGAUGGACUCGUGCGUCCUUGAAGUGCUCCCCUCCCGCUGCAUCCCUUCCUGAACUUCUAAGGAACUCCACAAGCCUGGAUCCAUUUCAGUUCAGAUUCACCUGAAAUAAAGGUGAAUGUAUAUAGCCGUCGCCAGCAGGGUGAGGUCGUCUGCCUUAGCUUUCUAGGGUGGUUUUUAAUGUCUGAAUUUGGACUGAGACAUCAGAAGAGAUGUGCAAGGGAAGAAAGAUUCAUUUUAUUUCAAGCAGGAACAUGGACGUUUUUGUUAAUUGUCUUCUAGGACUUAACCUAUACACGACCUCAUUCUGGGAAACGUGCUCAAAUAGAACAGAAGUUUUCAAAAAAUCAUUUUAUUUUGGAUUUUUUUUAAUUGUAUUUUAAAUUUACAACCAGUUUUAAUAGUAACACACAGGUUUCAGGCAUAGACAAGUACUUCACAUUUUAGUGAAAACAAAACCCUUUUGUGGAAAUAUUCUCUACUUGAAUGAGCUGUUGGGAACUGCAGUUGGAUCCAGACUGGUAUUUGCCCGUGGACAGUGGAGGUGAAUCUGCAGCACAGGCUCAGGAACUCAGGUGGGAUAUGGGAGGCUGAGCUGUAUGUCUCUGUUCUGCCUCGUUCCCCAAGGAAAGCAGUUCUUGAGAUCUUGACAUCUUUUAACAAACAAGAAAAAACACCAGCCUGUGUGUGCUGCCCAUCCACUCUAACUUCCCAUAUUCUUUUAUUCUGACAGACUUCACUCCAUUGCUUGUUCAUGGACAAGGCAAUAGUGUUAUACUUGGAAGGCUUUGACAUACAGCCUCCUCGAAAGUGUAUUUUCUGAACUGAAUCCUCUUACUCUCAUUUCUGAAGUAGAAGCAUCCAGUUAUGCUUGGGAUACUAUUUUUUUGUGUGUGUGCAAAGGGUUGUGGUAGAAAAGAGGAAUAAGAGCUGACCGUACACAGAAAAGAAAGUAGGAAGGCGAGUAGAAAGUAGGAAAGUAGAAAGUUGAGGAGAAUUUUUUGAGAGAGCCAAAAGAACCAACUUAAUCCCAGCUGAUGCUGUCGGCCCUAUGGAGAUCAACAUUCAACAGCCAGGGCUGCCCUGUUCUGUGGCUGUGUACUGCUAUUGGUCUGCAGCUCCUGCUCCGAGGAGCUCGUCUGAUCCCACUGGGGGGAGUUCAGUACCAACUCUCAGCUGAUGUUCCAUGCCUUGGGUUUUGUAGCUGUGGUGGUUGAAAUCUGCCAACAGCAGAGCACUACACAGCUGUGCACUUGUGUUCAGAUUAAAAAAAAAUUACUUACUAAGACCAAAAAGGAAGAGAAAAGGAAAAUAGUACUGAUAAUAACGUAUAUUUGUAAAAUAAGUGAUGCAUAAUGCAAUUGCUGACUGAUGCCCUGAGCAGUGUCUGCCUCCCCUGGCCAGCUCCUGUCUCCAUGGUGUCACAAGGUAUGGAAUAUCCCUUUGGGCAAAUUAGGUCAGCUCUCCUGCCAGUGUCCCCUCCCAGCUCCUUGUGGCUUGCUGGCAGGACAGUAUGAGAACCUGAAACGUCCUUGGCUCUGCAGAGCAACAACUAAAACAUUGGUGUGUUAUUAACACUGCUUUUAUCCUAAAUCCAAAAUGUAGUAUCGUAUCAGACAACGUGGGUAAAAAAAAAAAAAAAAUCAACCAGCUGAAACAGGACAGGAGCCAAGGAACUAAAUGAUGGAAAAGAAUAGGGUGAAGGAGGUGGAUGUCCAGGCAGACAGUUCUAGAAACAGGCCCAUGGAAAGGCUUAUCUGAAGCAAUCUGAGAAUGGCUUGAGUAGAGAGAAGGCUUGGGAAAUGAAGAAAACAUUGUCCAACAGGAAGAGCAGGAGGAGCUGCUGGAGGUGAUGUGCAGCUCCCUGAGUGAGGAGUCCCCACAGUGCCUGCGCAAAAGGAUUUCAGUGCUGAUGCUGUUCUGGUACAGCAAAAGUUUGCUUUUCUUCUUUGCCACUCUGUGCAGAGAAAAAGCAAUCUAAGAUCCAGAGAAUUAAAAGAAAUCAAAUGUUUUCCUCAGUUUUCUUCAGGGCCCUUCAAGGGGGAGGACAGGUAGUAUGGCACCCCAUGCCACCCCUUCUGCCUGCACUGUGGCUGUAUGCCAGUGCAGGGUGUGUCCUUUUGGUUCCAUUGCAGUACACUGCCUCCAGGUAAAACUGAGAAUAAUUGGAGAUAAUGAUAUAGUAGUAACAACUAAAUCUUCUUGCAGUCCCAAGCACAGGUUGGGUGGAGAAUCGUCUGAGGUCAGCCCUGAGGAGAAGGAUUUGGGAGUGUUAGUUGAUGAAAGAUUCAACGUGAGCUGGAAAUGUGCACUUGCAGCCCAGAAGGCCAACUGUAUCCUGGGCUGCAUCAAGAGAAGUGUGACCGGCAGGUCGAGGGAGGGGAUUCUGCCCUUCUACUCUGCUCUCACAAGACCCCACCUGGAUUGGUAUUGCAUCCAGUUCUGGGGACCCCAACACAAGAAGGACAUGGAGUUGUUGGAGCACCUUGGAGCACCUCCUCUAUGAGGACAGGCUGAGAGAGCUGGGGCUCUUCAGCCUGGAGAAGGGAAGGCUCCAGGAGGACCUUAUAGCAGCCUUCCAGUACCUGAAGGGGUCUACAGGAAAGCAGGGAAGGGACUUUUUAUAAGGAUAUGUAGUGACAGAAUGAGGGGAAAUGGAUUUAAACUGGAAGGGGGUAGAUUUAGACUAGAUAUCAGGAAGAAAUUCUUACUGUAGGGAUGGUGAGAUGCUGGAACAAGUUGCCGUGUUUUCUAAUUCAGGACUAUGUUGCUGGAAAAGCAGAAGUGAUUUUUCUGCUUUAGAUCAAUGUGAAUGCUGUAUUCUGCUUAAUCUCCCUGUUCAUUUGGGAUUCAGGCCAUAGUUAAGGCGGUCUGAAGUGUUUUUGCAGCUAGCUAGUCCAUAAAGUACAGCACAUUUGGCCUAUUUUUGGAGGUUCUUUGAGGCAGAGAUGUUUACAACGGUUGCAUAAUGGACAGGACUUCUUUUGUAAAAAUCCUCCUCGUGUGCCAGCAUCUGGUUUCUGCAAUCUCACUGCUAAUCAGCCUGGAGGUUUUAGAAACUUUCCUUUUAUUUUAUUUUUUGGGUUUUAUUUUUUUGCCUGUCAUGUUCCCUGCUGUUGGAGGUGGGGAGAGGUGAGGCCUUCAGACCUGGCAGUAGCACAAAGCUGCUGCUUGCAUUUUUAGAGCUCUGGCCCUAAGCAGUCCAGCUGACAGAGGCCUGCUAUGUUUGCAUUUUGCAUUUUGCUGGCACUUUUCAAGUUAUUCUUGUCACCCUCUGAAUACCCUCUUUGCCCCACUGUAUUCUAGAGGGCAUGUUAGAAAAGCAGCACCAAAGGAUGAGAUGAUAAAGUCAGACCAUCUUAGAUGGCUUUCUGUGGAAGGCACUGGGACCCCAUGUCCCUUUGGUACAGGAAAGGGAAAUCUUUUAUUUGAAGAAGGCUGCAGAGAGUUUUAAAUACUAGAGCUUUGGGGAGAGCCUAUUUCACAUUUUCAUUUUGAUUAAAUUUAGCAUUGCUCAUUUUUCUGUCAAAAUUUAUAUGUUUAGGCAAUGAAUUUGAUACGCUCAGGAGAUGUGGAUCAUUUCACUUUCUGUGGUUCUUAUAAUGAAGGGUCAGGAGGAGGCAAGGCUUGGUAGCUGGCAGUACAGGGAAGUCCUGGCUUGUCUGGCACUGCAGCAUCCCAUCCAUCUGCCCAGGAUUUCUGUCUGUGUUCAGCUCAGUUAAGCAACGUGAUGGUGUUGAUUUCUGUCUGCAACAGAGGGGAUUGCGCUGGGCAGGUAUUUUGUAUUGUGCCGUCCUGCUGGGUUUUUUUUCAGUUGCUCUUUCAGAAGCUCCGAGCUCUUGCCCAGGAUAAACAACCACACUGUGCUGCUGAGUACUGUGCUUGGAACCUUCACACCCAAAUGCAGUCGUUCUAAGGAACAGCUUUGCUCUGUGGACAGACUCCUUCCUUCUGUGAGUAACAGGGUGGAUAGAGAGACAGAUUAACCUUGCACUAUACUAAAGCAACUGUAGGAACAACAAAAUGAGUGUUCACAGCUCAGGAAAAUCUGGAAUUUCAAAUAAACCCACUGCAUUGACCCAGGCACAGUUUGGCAGUUGUUGCUACAGGGUGUUCAAAUUAAACAAUGAGGUUCCUGGUGUGAUGGAAAAGACUUUGCAAAGCACAUUGGUUCCUCCAGGAUCCAAAUGCACUUUCCCUUUCCAAGGGGAGCUGUGGGCAUUUGGAUCCUUGCAGAGAAGUUCCUGAGGCCCUCUAUCAGCAAAACACUUUUAAGCAUGUCCUUAAGCACUUUGUUGAUGAAGGGGAGACAUGAACUCUUAAUUAUCUGUGCUGAAUAAUAAUCUGAGAGGUUACUUGAGUAUCUUUUCUAACACUUAUACUCUAGCUCUGCCCCAAAAGGCUGAGCCCAAGAGGCCAGUGCUUUACCCUCCGGCUGCAUUUGCCUUCUGUGAACGCGCUCACUAGCCUUCAAGUAAAUGGGGCCGAUAUCUGUCUCUCUGUAGGAAUUUUGCCUGUCCUGAGUGCUUACCAGCUUAGAAGAAUAGACAUUGUGCCUUAUUCAGCUUUAACGGGAGCAGUGUCCAUCUUAUCCAAAUACCGCCGAGUGGGGGGUUAUUAAAUCAUCUGAAGGAAAAAUGAAGAAUGAAGCUAGAAGGGGAUCUGGCUUUCCCUUUCACAUGCUCACAUCUGUAGCAGAAGUGUUGGUGGAUGCCUCAGCCCUACGGCACAGCUGGCACUUUGGAGCCCUUCAUGGGAGGCAAAGAAAGAAAGAAAAGAAACACCCCCAUUCCCCCACCAAAGCAGCGAGUGAUUGCAGCUGUUCUCGAGAAGGGUUGUGUCAGCACAACGUGCAUAGCCCUACUCAGAAAGUUGGUGUCAGCAGCCGUAAAAGCUGGCCUGUCAGCAUUUCUGUUGUAUUUCAUACACAAGAUGCAUGUUACUGAACAAUUACACCGAAGGCGGAGAAUAUUCCUUGGGAACACAACUUGGAAGUAGCAUCUUCCUGUGGGAACAGUUCAGACUGUGUGCUGCAGAAACCUGAGUGGUUUGGAUGCAAGGCCUUGCUGCUGGGGCUCACUGCAAGCUGUGUGGGCUGCCAAAGCCAUAGUGCCACAGCCCAGCCGGGAGCCUCAGCCCAUGUAAUUAGUCAGGUCCUGGUAAUUCUAAUGAGCUUCUGAUCAUGCCAACACAUUCAGUGUGAGGGAAGCUGGGUGAUGCUUAAGUUUUUGGCCUCCGAAGCCUUCGGAGGGUAUAUAUAACUCUAGCUUUGUCUACCGGUCUCAAUGUGUCAUUGUGCUGUAGCCACUUUAAAGGGCAGGAUGGAGAGCUGGGAUGGAGUUCUCAUCUCUGCUUACUGGGAAGCAGAAAUUAAUUAAGGAAAAAGCAAAAACCAAACCCAAAGCAAGCAAAAAGUCAUGCUCAGAGUAGUUAAGGAAGCAGGAGGAAAGGAGCAUAAAAUCCCCAGGCACUCGCUGUUGAUUUGAUCUCUAUCUGUGUACAGGAGCCUGACUAAUUAAUUACAUGUGGCUCCAAGUCUGUUUUCUGGAUCUCUUGCAGACCUCUGGAUGCUGCAGUGAUCCCAGUCGGCACAGAAGCUGCUAUGAUGCUGAGAUGUGUCUUACCACGUGUUGCCCACCUCCCAGCAUAGAGCUGCACAGAGCAGCAGGAUGCAUGAGGCUCUCCCUCCUCAACAGCCCUCAGUGGUGCUCCUAUGGGUUUGGGUGCUCGUGUGAGGCAGUGAGAGGAGUAUGAGGAGUGCUGCGUUCUGCUGGGUUACUGGUGCUGGGCAGAAACUUCAGCCCUAGGGGGGUGUAAGGCCUCAACAUUACUUUAUAGUAUAUGUACAUCUAGGAAACAAGGAACUACCACUAAUAACAGCAAAGUCUGUACCAAGAGCUCUGCAGCAGACAUCUGACCACAGCCGAAGCCACAUUUAAAGCAAGGCAGUGUCUCUGUAAGAGCUAACAUCAGUAUAACAAAGUGAUGCCAGAGGGAACAAGUUAGGAGAAAUGUUUCCAUGGAGUGGUAGUUGGUUUCUUUUCUCUUCCCCCCCGCACCCCUCUCUCCUUUCUUUUCCUUACAUCUUCCUAUUAUUUUUUUCAUCUUCAAUUCGUACUUAAACCUUUCCAACCUUUCUGAGAGUCAGGAGAAUGGUUCUGAGAGUCAGGAGCCCCUCAGAAAAGGUCAGACAACCCAAGUGCACGGCAUUCUGGCUUUCCCAUGGGCCUUCCAGUAGUAUGGCACUCAGUCAAAGCAAACAUGAAUUUUAUCUGUCAGAAGCAAGCUUUAAAGCUCGGUGAUGUGUCUAUAGCUUAAGGUACUUUUACUUUUUUGUGUUGUACAGGUUUUAUUUCUCUCCAUUAAACAUAAGCAGUCUUUUGUUUUCCUUCAUGAACCUGGUCAUUUUUCUAUACGUUUCGAUGAGAAUUGCAUUGGGCUUCUCCCUGCCUUUCGUAGGGCAGCAUUGAUCUUUUUCCAUUUUGGAGAGAGCUGAAUAGAUGGCUAUGUCUAACGAGAGGAGCUUAUCCUUUGUGUUUACAGUUCAUUUCAGGAUAUCUUUCAGUAUGACUGAUCUAUAAAUGCUAAUUGUGGGUGAGGCACGUGGUAGGGGGACUUCUGCAGUCUUGCAGUUUAUGUAUAGGCAAUGCAUAUUGCUCUUCCUAAGGUUAAUAACAGAACUGAUUUUUGUGUGUUGCUCUUCUGAGAGCAACUCAAUCAUUAAUUUUUAGGCAUACGUGCAGGCAGAAUCCUGUUCAUCUCACAAAAUACAAAUAAAUGCUCUGAGGGCUAACUGCAGGAGUUUCUGUAUAAGCUAAAGCUUAACUCUGUAGGACACCACCCCAUCCCCCACCCAGGAACUGAGCGGAUCAUCACGCCCAGCGUUUGUUUUCAACACCACCUUUGUGAAAGCACCUCAGCACAUCUGACUUGCAGGUUGCCUUCUCCCAUGUAGGCUCAUGGUGUCUCACGCUGCCCAGUUAGAGUGCUGGGUACCGUGGGGUUUUCACGACCUUCCUCAUCUGUCUGCAUGUCCUCCCUCGAGUUAUCUGGAAGCUGAGAUGUCUUCUCCACUGGUGUCCUUGAAGUGGGUUAAACUGGAGGACGGAAGCUCCCGAGAGUUUCUAAUGCUGUGGUCUUCCGACAACUCAAAUGAUUUUGGUGACUCAUAAGGAGACACAAAGGCCACCUUUUUCUCUGACUGUGAAAAUCAGAUGGCAAAACCCAACAAAUUAGGCCUGAAAGAACAGAAAAACCUCUCUUUGGUUGCCUGGGAGGGAGGAAAGGAUGGGGAUCAAUGGAUUCACUACAAAAGCAGUCACAAAGUUUCCUUUCUGUCCUGUCAUCCGUAGUGUCUUCAAAAACACUUCUUCCUGAGACAGAGCUUGAACUGGUUCUUUUUCAACUUCAGCCCUUUACGCUAUUACAACUAAUCCCCAGUGGAAAUAUUUCUUUUCCUUUCAUUACUUUUUGUGCGAAUAUUUAUACAGUUAUCUCGCUGUUUCCUUUAAUUUGUAUCCCUUUAGACCAAAUAAAUUUAGUUGCUGUCAUCUUGCUUUCAAAGUUGUAUUCUUAAGUAAUAAAGCAACGUUAAAUAUAGUUGGAAACAGACAACAUGAUGCACCUGAGGCUUCACAAUAAUUCAUGCUUUUGGACACAAUAGUGUCCAUUUUACUAAGACCAGCAAUACACUGCUGUGAAUGAGUCCCUUGUCAGGAGUUUUUGAGCAUUUGAAAUAACAGCUGUCUUUUAAAAUAAUUACGUGUGCGUGGCGUAAAAGCCUAUGUUUGAGAUUUUAUGUAAAUUCUCCAUCCUGUUUUAAAAGUAAUUACAGUGAGAACUUGGAUAUUUAAUUUUUAAACACUGAAUUAAUUUUUUUUUCCUUUUUCUUGUUUGAGCACCGUGCAAUAGCUUGGAAACUCCUGUGACAUCUGACAAGGGACUUCACGGUUCCUGAUGGAACGUGUUGCACGCUCCCUCACAUCCUGCUCUGGCAACAGUAACGCCAUUCAUCCUCCAGCAAGUGGGGCUGGGAGGAAGUCCAGGUUUAUCGCUCUUUUCCUGGGGGGAUUGGAAGGUUCAGGAAAUUAUGGGAUUUAGAGAUCCUUAACUUCUAAAGUAUUUGCUUGAACUGCUCGUAACUGAGCAAUUCAAUGUGCCGCAUAUAUUUUCAAAGACUCUUGCUUACAAUUUGUGUAUUAAAUGGUAUUCUGCAGUAGGCUUUUUCGCUGGCUUACCUGGAAAAAUAGUGUAGAAGUUAAAGAUGGAAUUCCAAGAAUUUGGCAGAAAUUGGCUCCUGUGCAAUUAUAGUAUAUCAAUUGCUAUUUGAUGUACACACUGUACUGCAAGUCAUUGCCUGGUAGUGUAUGCAGGCCUUCCAUUAGCUUCUCUUUGGAGCUACUCUUGAAAUGAAAAGUGGAUGCGAUGAGCACUGGAGGUUUAUCACCAAUUUCUCUUUGAAGAUCUUGACUGCCACUGGUUAAAACUUCUAAGUAAACUUCGGCAGCGUUAUUGAGAUGAUUACACUGGCACUGACUAAUAUUUCCAAUGGUUUGACCAGUAAUUUGAGCUGUGCAAACUCAUGCUUUUGGCUCCAAGCAUUGGGUAUUUUAAAGCAGGCUCACAAUGAGUGAUAGGAAGUUACCUUUCCCAGGUAACACUCUAGACACUUUUUGCCUAUAUACUUAGUUUAAAUUUACUAAGCAAGUAAGCAAUAAAAUAAGGUCCAUAGGGGUAUAUAUAACCAGAGUUGCUUGAAUUUACUGCCAAGAGAUGCAUGAUGAGUAUGAUUAAGAGGCACUUUAUGCUGACUUUCUAAUAACUCUCUGCUAAAAUAUGUACUUCAGACAGUUCUGUCAGCUUUAUUGUUACUUUCUAAUUUUGGUCUAAAGAUUUUUAUCAGAUGUGAUUUUUCCCUUUAGGGAUUAUAGGAUGCAUAAAUUUUUGAAGAUGAGAGAGUUCCUGUGAUUCAUUCCUGGGCUCCAGUGGCCCUGUCUGGACAUCUGGGAUACCUCAGAGAAUCUCAGCGGCACUGGAAGCUACUUCACCUUGAAGCUGGAGUCAGAGAAGAGGACUCUGCUCAACCCUGACUUACUCAAUAGCCUUUACUCUUCUCUUGUCUUUUUGAAGAACGGGUUUGUAGGGACAAGCUGAUAGCAGUCCAUUCCACCUUCAGGAAACCAUAUCUGGUAAAGGAUGGGACUCAUUUCACCUAAUGGUAGAGACCAAAUUCUUAGCUAGUUUACAGUGAGAGUCUAGAUUCCUAGCUUAGAAAUACAAGCACUUUGAGACAGGUUUUGUGAUGAGGAGCUGCCUAGGAUGAGUGAGGUGAUGCUACCUGCUUCUUACUUGUGACUGAAGAAGAAACCUGGGUGACUAAUUUGAACUACAGCCUCAGAGGGUAUAUCUACACGGAGAUAAUCUAGGUAUAUCUACACAAGGAAACCAUAAUGAGCCUGCAAGAGAGCAUAGGGGCACAGCCAGGUAUAGCUUUAGUACACUGCCACUGAAAAUGAGAAUGCAGCUUUGCUGCUGCAUUGAGGUCCAAAGCCAUGCCUUGGGGUGGCUGUAGCUAGGCUGUUGGCUGUAGGGUAUACAGCACUUGGAAAACCGUGCAGCAGGUAAACUCCACUGCAACACUCACCAUAUGGUCCGGGCUAUGGAUCACCAAACUACCCCAUCUUGUUUCAAAACCACCCAUUAAUUAGCACAGUGGCUGUGUAAAACCAUUUUAUGAAGUUCAAUGUGGAUUUGCUUAAAUAUUUGCCCUUUUUCUCAGGUGUUUUUUGUUUUUUUGUUUUGUUUUGUUUUGGUGGGACUUGCCAAGUUCCAUGUUCCUGCUGCACUUUAGGAGUAUUUAGGAUCAUUAGCAUUAAGCUUAACGUGAUCUUUUCUGGGAGGGUUGUGCAAAGCCUGCAACAGACAUACUUCCCUCUCAGGGAGCUAUUUAUGUCUCUUUAGAAAUCCUCAGGCCAAACUGAAGACACCCAUUUCCUCUUUGUGGCAAUAGAAGUUCCCCAGGGAAAGUCCCGGGGCAUUGGCCCUGAGCUGUCAAACCAAACACACAGCACUGCUUCUUCUGAGUACGUGAUGAAUCUCAUGGUUGUGUGAUGGUCUACAAGCCAACUCAUUUUUCUAUUCCUUUUGUCUUCACCUCAUCCUAUGAUAGCUAUAUGUAUAUGUGUAGACAUAAACACACACAUACAUACUGUAAUUGGGAAUGUGGGUGGGCUAUGCUCCUAGUUGUAUUUUAGAAAGCUAAAAUUAGGCUUCUGGUGUUAAAACUACAUACAGUGCCCAGAGCUGUGGUUCAGCUUUGCUUUCUCACUGUUUCCUCAGUAACCAUAGCUACUGCACCUUCAUCACUGUGAGCUUAUUUCUCCGAGAUUCCUUCUUUUAGAAUUACUGGUGUAAUUUCUUACAAAUACCAGCGGAAAGCUCCCAUAACGAACACCCCUCUCUUCCUCUGGCCUCAAUCCCUUUCCUGGCCUAACUUUUCCACCCGUAAAUAAAACCUGCCCCCAGUUUGCUCUGUGCUUGGUUUCCCACCAAACAAAAUUGGUUAGUCACCAAUUUGCCUGUACUCCUUUUGGUUGAUGAGAGCCCUUGAUGCCACCUGUGUCUAACCUCAAGAAAAUAACUAGUGCUCCUGGCUCCUGCUGAGUAUGGUGAUGCUCAGCAGUAAAGCUUAAAAGAUUGAUUAUCCUGAGUCAUUUUCACCAGCUACCAGAGCUGCUAGUAUUUUUUAAAAAUAUAUACUCACAGUGCCUCUCUUCAUAAAAAGUAUGCGAGGAUUUCAGGUCUUUGGCUAGCAGGGGAGCAUAAAUCAUCACAGACACUGUGAUGCUGAUGAUUUGUAUUCUCGUAGCACCUAUUCCAUAGUUCUGAACAGCUACAAAAUACAAGGCAUUCCCUUGCCCCAGAUGAUGGAUAAUCUUGGCAUAGAAGAAGGAAAAUAGCAGAUGGAUAUAGAUGCAUGGGGAGAUACAGUCGGUCUGGGUCGGGAUGAUGCCAGUCUUAGCAACUGUCUAACUGCAGUUGAAUUUUUGAGGCUUUAUGACUGGAUCAUUUCAAAGGAGAGAUACAACAUAAGGAUGACUGUUAUUGUGCUAUCAUAAAAGAAAAGGAGGAAUAUUUUGUAACAUAUCUAAUAAGUAAGGAAAGUCAUUCCUUUUUUGUGUGAUACCUGUUUACACUGUGGACUUCUACGUGAAUAACUCACUGCUGUAGCUGUCACAAUCCAAACCAAUGCGCUGCCAUAAAAACAAAGGCUAGACCAUGACACUUUAUUAUUAUUGUUAUUAUUAUUAAUUUUGACAUAGAACAUGGCUGUCAAAAAUGCUCUGCCUAGGUGAGCAGAAUCCAGUUUAAGAUCAAUGCCUUAGUGCAGGUGACUAUAGCUCUUGGUAGCGCUGCAUACUCCCAUUUCAGUGAGUGUAGAGGGCCUCAGCUAAACAGCCAUCAGCUGUCUGCUCUGCAGUGAGUCAAAUCAUUCUUAGGCUCCCUUAGCUGCAUUGGUUAGGUUGUCAUUGACUAUAGCAGAGCUUGUUGGUUAGAUUUCCCACUGAGUUUUCUUGGAGCUUGGAGGCACAGCCUAAAUUUCCAACCUGUUCCAUCCUGUUGCCCAAUUUCAGGUGGUCUGCUCAAAUGUAUCUGCCAAAUGAGAUGUCUCCAGCUUGGCCAAUAGAUUAUGCUUUUUAGAUGUAGGUUUACUGUAAGACUAGUAUCUUAUCUUGCUGUGCUGGACAUCUCUGAUUCCUCUGAAUACCUCAGAUGUCACCAGACAUCAGAGUUUGGAUGACUAAUUCAACUGUCCUUGCCCUUUAAUGCUUAAGAAGCCUGCUCAGAGCCUGCCAUCAUGAUGUAUGUCUUCACGUUGGUAGUCUCAAGAGCUGGUGUAUGAGCAGUGGCUAAAGGAUGAAAAUGAGAGUUGACUACAGCUAAAACAUAAAUAAUUUAGAUGAGUAUUUGAAGGGGUUGGGUUUGGGGUUUUUUGUUUUGUUUUGUUUUUUUUUUUUUUUUUUUUUUUUUUUUUUUUGGAGUGCCAUACCAACAAUCACUCAAUUCAGUUUCUAAUUUGAGAGUUCUGUUAGCCCGUUUCCUGAUUAAACUCCUUCAUGGCAAUGACUAAUGCCUUACAACACAUCUGGUUGGCUAACAAAACAUCCACUACUCUGGUGACCCAGACUUCAGCCAGCCUCACUUCUGUCAUCCCUUGCAUGGAUUGCAAGCAAUAUGGUCUCCUCAGCUAUCAACUCUUAAGAAACUCCAAAAAUACUUCCCAGGAAGUUCAGGAAACUCCAUCACAUCAAUUCAAUUACUUGGAUUACCAAAAGCAAGUCAAAGCAAUCCUCUGCUCUUGGCACUGUCCAGCGAUGACACCAAGUCAAUUAAUUUGACUCCCAGUUUGUAUCAAUGGCCUGAGUUCCAGAUCAUUAAAAAAUCCUCCUAUAACUCUGUGAUGAGCUGACAAAUCAAAGCUGACAGUUUUGCUCUUUGGGUAUAACUGAGCUUUCUAUAAUAAGGCGCAAUUAUUUGUACAAGAGAGAGCUUUCUUACAGGAAGAUCUCUGUGUGUAAUCAAUCGCCAUACAAGUUAAAGAUUAACAAAAUCUUCACCUGUCUCUGGAUUCACAUGCAAGGUGCACUCGUGAGCUUCUGCUGUCCCUAAUAUAAACACAGUCAGUGUGGGAAGCGUGGAUAAAAGCUGUAACAGGAAGGCAAGCUGAGCUGGUCAGCGCUAACCAGUGCUCCAUACAAUGGAUGCCAACCAAGGCCUGACAAUUCUGGUUAGAAGCAAAGAGCACAUUUUUAAUCCCGAGUUGAGCGCUGCAACAAUAGGAUAAGCUUCCAUCUCAGCAGCUCUUCACUCCAGGCAGUGCUUCUGUCCAAAACGCGUGCUCUAGCCAAGUACAAAGCUCCCUGCCUUACCCAGCCAACUGCAUUGCCAUGUCAGUUUCAUCCCCAAAGCCUGAGGGACUUCAGGAAGAACUGAAACCGGCUGGGAAGCACGCCGCAGUCCUCAGCCCUGCCUGCUGCACAUGCCCCGAGCCCUCCUCACAGGAACCCUUCCCGUGUGCCGUGCAACCCGUGUCCGCACGCCGCUGGUCACAAAACGAGCGGUUCCGCAGAAGGAGCUGCCAUCUUCUCGACACGCACCCGGCUCGGCUCGGCUCGGCUCGGCUCGGCUCGCUCCUCCCGGCUCGGUCCCGGUGGGCGCCGAGCUCUCCUCAGAGAGGACAACUUCAGCACGGCGCCGGCUCCCGGGGCGCUCCCGACGCCCCUUCAGCCCCGCAGCACCGCACCGCGG